RNAcentral lists this transfer RNA (72 nucleotides) under Ipomoea nil (Japanese morning glory). It matches the Rfam family "tRNA". Rfam says of the family: Transfer RNA (tRNA) molecules are approximately 80 nucleotides in length. Their secondary structure includes four short double-helical elements and three loops (D, anti-codon, and T loops). Further hydrogen bonds mediate the characteristic L-shaped molecular structure. tRNAs have two regions of fundamental functional importance: the anti-codon, which is responsible for specific mRNA codon recognition, and the 3' end, to which the tRNAs corresponding amino acid is attached (by aminoacyl-tRNA synthetases). tRNAs cope with the degeneracy of the genetic code in two manners: having more than one tRNA (with a specific anti-codon) for a particular amino acid; and 'wobble' base-pairing, i.e. permitting non-standard base-pairing at the 3rd anti-codon position. The record is from Rfam by way of RNAcentral. Lineage: Eukaryota; Viridiplantae; Streptophyta; Magnoliopsida; Solanales; Convolvulaceae.
GGGCAUUUGGUCUAGUGGUAUGAUUCUCGCAUUGGGUGCGAGAAUUCUUGAGUUCAACUCUCGGAAUGCCUC